AACGCGAAGAACCUUACCUACCCUUGACAUCCUGCGAAGAUUGAAGAGAUUCGAUUGUGCCGAAAGGAACGCAGAGACAGGUGCUGCAUGGCUGUCGUCAGCUCGUGUUGUGAGAUGUUGGGUUAAGUCCCGUAACGAGCGCAACCCUUGUCCUUAGUUGCCAUCAUUUAGUUGGGGACUCUAAGGAGACUGCCGGUGAUGAACCGGAGGAAGGCGGGGACGACGUCAAGUCAUCAUGGCCUUUAUGGGUAGGGCUACACACGUGCUACAAUGGGGCGUACAGAGAGUCGCCAACCCGCGAGGGGGAGCCAAUCUCGCAAAGCGCCUCGUAGUCCGGAUUGGAGUCUGCAACUCGACUCCAUGAAGUUGGAAUCGCUAGUAAUCGCGAAUCAGCAUUGUCGCGGUGAAUACGUUCCCGGGCCUUGUACACACCGGCUAC
This 439-nucleotide ribosomal RNA is filed under the name uncultured bacterium. RNAcentral's name for it is "bacterial SSU rRNA". It matches the Rfam family "Bacterial small subunit ribosomal RNA", at positions 958 to 1397 of the family's 1533-position model. The record is from RNAcentral.